GUGGAUGUAGCUCAGUUGGGAGAGCGCCGGACAUAAUCCGGAGGUCGGGGGUUCGAGUCCCUUCAUUCGCACCA
RNAcentral lists this transfer RNA (74 nucleotides) under Mesorhizobium sp. M7A.F.Ca.US.006.01.1.1. RNAcentral describes it as "tRNA-Tyr". It matches the Rfam family "tRNA". From Rfam's summary of the family: Transfer RNA (tRNA) molecules are approximately 80 nucleotides in length. Their secondary structure includes four short double-helical elements and three loops (D, anti-codon, and T loops). The record is from RNAcentral. Lineage: Bacteria; Pseudomonadati; Pseudomonadota; Alphaproteobacteria; Hyphomicrobiales; Phyllobacteriaceae.